This 81-nucleotide ribosomal RNA is filed under the name Catasetum saccatum. Its description in RNAcentral is "partial 26S ribosomal RNA". It matches the Rfam family "Eukaryotic large subunit ribosomal RNA", at positions 1 to 80 of the family's 3401-position model. Lineage: Eukaryota; Viridiplantae; Streptophyta; Magnoliopsida; Asparagales; Orchidaceae. The record is from RNAcentral.
GCGACCCCAGGAUGGGCGAGGCCACCCGCUGAGUUUAAGCAUAUCAAUAAGCGGAGGAGAAGAAACUUACGAGGAUUCCCC